GGAUUCUCUGUGUUUUGAAUCUGAUUACCCUGUGAGGCAUUUACCAUCCUGAUUUUACAGAGCCCCCCAAGUUCCUGAACUACAGAAGGUCCUUUUGGAAGAAUCAGAUGAAAUAAAAAAGCAGUCAGAGCAAAAUACAGCAGAAGCAGAAAGUAACACCACCACUAGCAAUAUAAGAAAGAACAAGUGGUCCAUGAAGACUGCCAAAAUUAAUUGCCACAAAGACCAAGAUGGAGAAGUAAGUUUAAACAAUACACCUAUGGAAAAUGAUGAUAUUUUUGCACACCAACCAGAAGCUAAGUGAAACUGAAGACAAAGCUCCAGAUCAAAUACGCAUGUUUCAGACCUGGCAAAAAUUAUUAGAAGUAGAAAGAAAAGCUAAAACAAUAAGAAAAAAAUCAUGAAGUCUUUGACAGAAGACGAAAGGGACAGUGUGAUUUUUGGCUGAGCAAAGAGAAACUGAAAUAAACCUACAGGCGUUACAGCAAACAAAUCUCAGUCAGAAGACAAUAAAGAGCUAAAUCCCCCAGCACCUAUUUUGAACAUUAAUAAAACUGAGAGGAUCUGCUCUUGGGAUUCUGAGAGCUCUCAGUAAUGAUGUACUGGAAACUGAUGUGUUAAUUUCACAUGUUCUGUAUAUGAUUUAGGCAGUUCAGUAUAGUUUUCUGAUGCUGAAAGAACAAUGGUGCUUCCAACAUGCCCAAAGGAAGUAAAAAGCUACUUUAAAA
Molecule: long non-coding RNA, 728 nt
Organism: Dermochelys coriacea (leatherback sea turtle)
Lineage: Eukaryota; Metazoa; Chordata; Testudines; Dermochelyidae
Exons: 2
Source: RefSeq, a predicted model, not a curated record